This 253-nucleotide ribosomal RNA is filed under the name uncultured bacterium. Its description in RNAcentral is "partial 16S ribosomal RNA". It matches the Rfam family "Bacterial small subunit ribosomal RNA", at positions 524 to 776 of the family's 1533-position model. The record is from RNAcentral.
UACGUAGGGUGCGAGCGUUAAUCGGAAUUACUGGGCGUAAAGCGUGCGCAGGCGGUUCGCCAAGUCGGGUGUGAAAGCCCCGGGCUCAACCUGGGAAUUGCAUUCGAGACUGCAUUGCUGGAGUACGGAAGAGGAAGGCGGAAUUCCCGGUGUAGCGGUGAAAUGCGUAGAUAUCGGGAGGAACAUCAGUGGCGAAGGCGGCCUUCUGGUCCAGUACUGACACUCAAGUGCGAAAGCGUGGGGAGCAAACAGG